GAUUCGUCACACUAUCAUUAACUGAAUCCAUAGGUUAAUGAGGCGAACCGGGGGAACUGAAACAUCUAAGUACCCCGAGGAAAAGAAAUCAACCGAGAUUCCCCCAGUAGCGGCGAGCGAACGGGGAGGAGCCCAGAGCCUGAAUCAGCAUGUGUGUUAGUGGAAGCGUCUGGAAAGGCGCGCGAUACAGGGUGACAGCCCCGUACACAAAAGCGCAUGUGCUGUGAGCUCGAUGAGUAGGGCGGGACACGUGGUAUCCUGUCUGAAUAUGGGGGGACCAUCCUCCAAGGCUAAAUACUCCUGACUGACCGAUAGUGAACCAGUACCGUGAGGGAAAGGCGAAAAGAACCCCGGCGAGGGGAGUGAAAAAGAACCUGAAACCGUGUACGUACAAGCAGUGGGAGCACCCUUCGGGGUGUGACUGCGUACCUUUUGUAUAAUGGGUCAGCGACUUAUAUUCUGUAGCAAGGUUAACCGUAUAGGGGAGCCGGAGGGAAACCGAGUCUUAAUUGGGCGUUAAGUUGCAGGGUAUAGACCCGAAACCCGGUGAUCUAGCCAUGGGCAGGUUGAAGGUUGGGUAACACUAACUGGAGGACCGAACCGACUAAUGUUGAAAAAUUAGCGGAUGACCUGUGGCUGGGGGUGAAAGGCCAAUCAAACCGGGAGAUAGCUGGUUCUCCCCGAAAGCUAUUUAGGUAGCGCCUCGUGAAUUCAUCUCCGGGGGUAGAGCACUGUUUCGGCUAGGGGGCCAUCCCGGCUUACCAACCCGAUGCAAACUGCGAAUACCGGAGAAUGUUAUCACGGGAGACACACGGCGGGUGCUAACGUCCGUCGUGAAGAGGGAAACAACCCAGACCGCCAGCUAAGGUCCCAAAGUCAUGGUUAAGUGGGAAACGAUGUGGGAAGGCCCAGACAGCCAGGAUGUUGGCUUAGAAGCAGCCAUCAUUUAAAGAAAGCGUAAUAGCUCACUGGUCGAGUCGGCCUGCGCGGAAGAUGUAACGGGGCUAAACCAUGCACCGAAGCUGCGGCAGCGAACGUAUCACCCAAGACAACUUUACGGAGUUGGCGAUUGACGGAGCGAAGCGACGUCAAAGCGUUCAUUAAAGUCGAGUUGGCUUAGGGAUACGUUCGUUGGGUAGGGGAGCGUUCUGUAAGCCUGUGAAGGUGUGUCGUGAGGCAUGCUGGAGGUAUCAGAAGUGCGAAUGCUGACAUAAGUAACGAUAAAGCGGGUGAAAAGCCCGCUCGCCGGAAGACCAAGGGUUCCUGUCCAACGUUAAUCGGGGCAGGGUGAGUCGACCCCUAAGGCGAGGCCGAAAGGCGUAGUCGAUGGGAAACGGGUUAAUAUUCCCGUACUUGGUGUUACUGCGAAGGGGGGACGGAGAAGGCUAUGUUGGCCGGGCGACGGUUGUCCCGGUUUAAGCGUGUAGGUGUGUGUUCCAGGUAAAUCCGGUUCACUUUAACACUGAGGCGUGACGACGAGGCACUACGGUGCUGAAGCAACAAAUGCCCUGCUUCCAGGAAAA
RNAcentral lists this ribosomal RNA (1523 nucleotides) under Salmonella enterica subsp. enterica serovar Typhimurium. RNAcentral's name for it is "partial 23S ribosomal RNA". It matches the Rfam family "Bacterial large subunit ribosomal RNA", at positions 137 to 1616 of the family's 2925-position model. The record is from RNAcentral. Lineage: Bacteria; Pseudomonadati; Pseudomonadota; Gammaproteobacteria; Enterobacterales; Enterobacteriaceae.